RNAcentral lists this long non-coding RNA (752 nucleotides) under Manacus vitellinus (golden-collared manakin). Its description in RNAcentral is "lncRNA (ENSMVIG00005019264.1)". Lineage: Eukaryota; Metazoa; Chordata; Aves; Passeriformes; Pipridae. The record is from RNAcentral.
UGAAGAGUGUACGUGCCUGAGUUCCUCCUUUAUUUUUCAUAAGGUCCACAAAGACAGAUUCCUGUUAUGUGCAUUACUGGCAUGCAGGACAACCUUUGGAAGGCUUUCCUCCCUAGAACAGAAUUUGACUUGAGAUAAACCUUUCAGUGGAAAAAUAGGAGGGCACGAACUAUCUUUUCAGAUAUACUUCUGUCUGUGUCAUCAAUGCCUUUUUUUGCACUCACGACAUCAUCUCUUUCAUACUGGACUCCUUUUUGGGCAUCACAGCUAUGAACUGCUGGCUUUGCGUAUCAAACUGCAGAGAGGCUUCCAUAGCCAUGGACCUUACCAGCGCAGAGCACAACAUCCAUACUUAGUCCUGUACUUCUAGUAAAGUCAACUUAGAUAUGAGGUGCAUGUUUCCAUGCUGAAGAACUCUCUACCCAUCUUUUAAGUGCACAUGGAUUAAUCUCAUCAGUUGCUCAGUCUGGAUUUGAUUGAACACCAACACAUUUGUUCAUCUGCUGGAAGAGGAAUCCUUUGACCGGGUUUUGACCUGAAAUCUGACACAAAUCUGUUUGUUUACUUAUCUGAAGCUGAUUAAUGUCAUUAUUGAUUGCUGCAGUUUGUUUACUGCAGCUACAAUGUCACAGGUUAAUUCUACUUGCUGUGGUCUUAACACCAUAUCUCCUAAAUUAUUGACUUUUGUGCAUGCUACUCCUUCAUUUGUUUACUCACAGUAAUAAAUCUUCAACUUUGUCUAAAACUAAACA